RNAcentral lists this ribosomal RNA (440 nucleotides) under uncultured bacterium. Its description in RNAcentral is "partial 16S ribosomal RNA". It matches the Rfam family "Bacterial small subunit ribosomal RNA", at positions 338 to 795 of the family's 1533-position model. The record is from RNAcentral.
CCUACGGGAGGCAGCAGUGGGGAAUAUUGCACAAUGGGGGAAACCCUGAUGCAGCGACGCCGCGUGAGUGAAGAAGUAUUUCGGAAUGUAAAGCUCUAUCAGCAGGGAAGAAAAUGAAGGUACCUGAUUAAGAAGCCCUGGCUAACUACGUGCCAGCAGCCGCGGUCAUACGUAGGGGGCAAGCGUUAACCGGAUUUACUGGGUGGAAAGGGAACGUAGACGGCAGCACAAGUCUGGAGUGAAAUGCCGGGGCUUAACCCCGGAACUGCUUUGGAAACUGGGCAGCUAGAGUGCGGGAGAGGUAAGUGGAAUUCCUAGUGUAGCAGUGAAAUGCGUAGAUAUUAGGAGGAACACCAGUGGCGAAGGCGACUAUCUGGACUGUAACUGACGUUGAUGCUCGAAAGCGUGGGGAGCAAACAGGAUUAGAUACCCGGGUAGUC